Molecule: ribosomal RNA, 511 nt
Filed under: uncultured bacterium
Lineage: Bacteria
Description: bacterial SSU rRNA
Rfam family: Bacterial small subunit ribosomal RNA
Source: RNAcentral
ACGGACGCUGGCGGCGUGCCUAAUACAUGCAAGUCGAGCGAAUGAUUAGAGAAGCUUGCUUCUCUCUGAUUUAGCGGCGGACGGGUGAGUAACACGUGGGUAACCUACCCUAUAGACUGGGAUAACUUCGGGAAACCGGAGCUAAUACCGGAUAAUACUUCGGAACACAUGUUUUGAAGUUGAAAGAUGGUUUCGGCUAUCACUAUAGGAUGGACCCGCGGCGCAUUAGCUAGUUGGUGAGGUAACGGCUCACCAAGGCAACGAUGCGUAGCCGACCUGAGAGGGUGAUCGGCCACACUGGGACUGAGACACGGCCCAGACUCCUACGGGAGGCAGCAGUAGGGAAUCUUCCACAAUGGACGAAAGUCUGAUGGAGCAACGCCGCGUUGAGUGAAGAAGGAUUUCGGUUCGUAAAACUCUGUUGCAAGGGAAGAACAAGUAGCGUAGUAACUGGCGCUACCUUGACGGUACCUUGUUAGAAAGCCACGGCUAACUACGUGCCAGCAGCCGC